This 2378-nucleotide ribosomal RNA is filed under the name Eurythenes gryllus. RNAcentral describes it as "18S ribosomal RNA". It matches the Rfam family "Eukaryotic small subunit ribosomal RNA". The record is from RNAcentral. Lineage: Eukaryota; Metazoa; Arthropoda; Malacostraca; Amphipoda; Lysianassidae.
CCUACCUGGUUGAUCCUGCCAGUAGUCAUAUGCUUGUCUCAAAGAUUAAGCCAUGCAUGUCUCAGUCCAAGCCGUGUUUACAUGGCGAGACCGCGGACGGCUCAUUAAAUCAGUCGUGGUCCAUAUGGGCUAGAGUUUAUCUUACUUGGAUAACUGUGGUAAUUCCAGAGCUAAUACAUGCAACCUAUAUCCUGACGACGUGGGGGCGCUUGCGUCUCCGCACUGACGGAUGCUUUUAUUAGACCAAACCGCUGAGUGUGGCUCGCGCCACGUAUGACUCGUUUAAUGGUGACUCUGAAUAACCUUUCUGACAAGCGAACGUACCCCUCGUUGGGACGGCGCUGCCACUUUCGAGUGUCUGCCUUAUCAGCUAUCAACCGUUCGUUAUGUGCGACCGAUGGCUUUGACGGGUAACGGGGAAUCAGAGUUCGAUUCCGGAGAGGCAGCCUGAGAGACGGCUACCACGUCCAAGGACGGCAGCAGGCACGCAAAUUACCCAAUCCCAGCUCCUGGGGGAGGUAGUGACGAAAUCUAACGAUGCGGGCGCCCUUUCUGGGGCCCGCAAUCGGAAUGGCCACUUUCUAAACAACCUGUUGAGAACCUACUGAAGGGCAAGUCUGGUGCCAGCAGCCCGCGGUAAUUCCAGCUUCAGUAGCAUCUAUUAAAGUUGCUGCGGUUAAAAGGCUCGCAGUUGAAUGUCAGUAUCGAGCGCAGGUCAGGUGGACCGCUGGGGCGUGAGAAUUCACGGCGUUCGCGCGUGCGCUCGCGUGUGUGUUGGUGCUUCGGUGCCUCUCGCGCGUGUGGUGUGCGUGUGUGGCGUCUCUCACAAGCCCCCGUCCGUGACAAGCCUCCUCGCUUGUUUACAUAACGGAAUCUGUUAAACGGAGUGUGCUUGCAGUGGCUCUGCUUCCUUUUGCGUUAGCGCGUGUCUGUGCUUCGCGGUGCAGGCGUGUGCGCGUGAGACGGGAGUUGUGGUUAACCUCUCGCACGUUAAGCUCCAUCGGUUCUAUGGUCACCUUGAGUAAAUCAGAGUGCUCAAAGCAGUCGUAGGGGCCUUGUGCCCUGUGAACAGUCUUGACGGACUGACUUGGUUUUGCAUGGCAUGUCGGAAGACGACGUCUAGCGCUGGCUCAGAGAUAUGUAUCAGUGGUGUAAGCCAGCCUAGACGUACUGAUUAAAAGGGACAGUCGAGGGCAUUGGUAUUGCGAGGCGAGAGGUGAAAUUCUAUGACCCCCGCAAGACCUCCUGAAGCGAAAGCGUCUGCCAAGGAUGUUUUCAUUAAUCAUGAACGAAAGUUAGAGGAUCGAAGGCGAUCAGAUACCGCCCUAGUUCUAACCCUAAACGAUGCCAACCAUCAAUCCGCGCGUAGCACCCUUCUUAACGGGCUCGGCGGGCGGCUCCUCACUCACGGGAACCAGAGUCUCUGGGUUCCGGGGGGAGUCUGGUUGCAAAGCUGAAACUUAAAGGAAUUGACGGAAAGGCACCACCAGGCGUGAGCCUGCGGCUUAAUUUGACUCAACACGGGCCAUCUCACCAGGCCAGCACUCUUGUACGAUUGACAGAUUGAGAGCUCUUUCUCGAUUUAGUGGAUGGUGGUGCAUGGCCGUUCUUAGUUGGUGGAGUGAUCUGUCUGGUUAAUUCCGAUAACGAACGAGACUCUCCCCUGCUAACUAGUCGGUUGGAUCUUGAUAUUUGUAUCGGUUGAGUCGUGUACCGAGACCACCCGAUGUGUUGUGCGUGCUGUGUUUUCUUGUCGAGGUUGUGGUGGUGGUGGCGGUGGUUCUCUUAACGGGGUUCUGCUUAGCUGCUGUUGCUGCUCCUAGGCGGUGGCCACGCGUGUGAUCUUCGGGCCUCGGACCACACACUCCAAGUCCGCCGCUUAUGCUUAAAACUCUUCUUAGAGGGAUUCACGGUACUGAAGCCGUAAGAGACUGAGAGCAAUAACAGGUCUGUGAUGCCCUUAGAUGUUCUGGGCCGCACGCGCGCUACAAUGCCGGGCACAGCAGGUGUUUUUCCUACUCCGACAGGAGCGGGUAACCCUGUGAAAGCCCUUUCUUAUGGUUUCAAGUUGGUGUGGCUCACGCCACCCAACGGUUUGGCGUGAUUGGGCCUGGGUCUUGCAAUUCUUUCCCACAAACGAGGGAAUGCCUUUGUAGCGGCGGGUCACUGAGCCCGCCGUGACUCAGUCCCUGCCUUUUGUACACACCGCCCGUCGCUACUACCGAUUGGGUGUACCAGUGAGAGCCUUGGACUGGCGUCCGUUGCCCUAACUUUGUCUGGGCAAGCGGGUCCGACGGAAAGAGGUCCGAACUGGUGCACUUAGAGGAAGUAAAAGUCGUAACAAGGUUUCCGUAGGUGAACCUGCGGAAGGAUCAUUA